RNAcentral lists this ribosomal RNA (158 nucleotides) under uncultured bacterium. RNAcentral describes it as "partial 16S ribosomal RNA". It matches the Rfam family "Bacterial small subunit ribosomal RNA", at positions 355 to 509 of the family's 1533-position model. The record is from RNAcentral.
UGAGGAAUAUUGGUCAAUGGGCGAGAGCCUGAACCAGCCAAGUCGCGUGAGGGAUGACGGCCCUACGGGUUGUAAACCUCUUUUGCCGGGGAGCAAUGCUCCGCACGAGUGCGGAGCGGGAGAGUACCCGGAGAAAAGCAUCGGCUAACUCCGUCGCC